GAUGAAGAACGCAGCGAAAUGCGAUAAGUAAUGUGAAUUGCAGAAUUCAGUGAAUCAUCGAAUCUUUGAACGCACCUUGCGCCCUUUGGCCAUUCCGAAGGGCAUGCCUGUUUGAGUAUCAUGAACACCUCAACUCUCAUGGCUUGCCAUGAUGAGCUUGGACUUUGGGGGUCUUGCUGGCCUGUGGUCGGCUCCUCUCAAAUGAAUCAGCUUGCCAGUGUUUGGUGGCAUCACAAGUGUGAUAACUAUCUGCGCUCGUGGUUUCCAUCAGAUAACCUCCAGUGAUGGAGGUUCGCUGGAGCUCAUAAAUGUCUCUCCUAAGCGAGGACAGCUCUUUUAAUGUUUGAUCUCAAAUCAGGUAGGACUACCCGCUGAACUUAAGCAUAACAAUAAGCGGAGGA
This 401-nucleotide unclassified non-coding RNA is filed under the name soil metagenome. RNAcentral's name for it is "partial contains 5.8S ribosomal RNA, internal transcribed spacer 2, and large subunit ribosomal RNA". The stretch from base 1 to 121 matches the Rfam family "5.8S ribosomal RNA", at positions 35 to 154 of the family's 154-position model. The record is from RNAcentral.